This 1238-nucleotide ribosomal RNA is filed under the name Mulberry witches'-broom phytoplasma. RNAcentral describes it as "bacterial SSU rRNA". It matches the Rfam family "Bacterial small subunit ribosomal RNA", at positions 156 to 1393 of the family's 1533-position model. Lineage: Bacteria; Bacillati; Mycoplasmatota; Mollicutes; Acholeplasmatales; Acholeplasmataceae. The record is from RNAcentral.
ACGACUGCUAAGACUGGAUAGGAGACAAGAAGGCAUCUUCUUGUUUUUAAAAGACCUAGCAAUAGGUAUGCUUAGGGAGGAGCUUGCGUCACAUUAGUUAGUUGGUGGGGUAAAGGCCUACCAAGACUAUGAUGUGUAGCCGGGCUGAGAGGUUGAACGGCCACAUUGGGACUGAGACACGGCCCAAACUCCUACGGGAGGCAGCAGUAGGGAAUUUUCGGCAAUGGAGGAAACUCUGACCGAGCAACGCCGCGUGAACGAUGAAGUAUUUCGGUACGUAAAGUUCUUUUAUUAGGGAAGAAUAAAUGAUGGAAAAAUCAUUCUGACGGUACCUAAUGAAUAAGCCCCGGCUAACUAUGUGCCAGCAGCCGCGGUAAUACAUAGGGGGCAAGCGUUAUCCGGAAUUAUUGGGCGUAAAGGGUGCGUAGGCGGUUAAAUAAGUUUAUGGUCUAAGUGCAAUGCUCAACAUUGUGAUGCUAUAAAAACUGUUUAGCUAGAGUAAGAUAGAGGCAAGUGGAAUUCCAUGUGUAGUGGUAAAAUGCGUAAAUAUAUGGAGGAACACCAGUAGCGAAGGCGGCUUGCUGGGUCUUUACUGACGCUGAGGCACGAAAGCGUGGGGAGCAAACAGGAUUAGAUACCCUGGUAGUCCACGCCGUAAACGAUGAGUACUAAACGUUGGUUAAAACCAGUGUUGAAGUUAACACAUUAAGUACUCCGCCUGAGUAGUACGUACGCAAGUAUGAAACUUAAAGGAAUUGACGGGACUCCGCACAAGCGGUGGAUCAUGUUGUUUAAUUCGAAGGUACCCGAAAAACCUCACCAGGUCUUGACAUGCUUCUGCAAAGCUGUAGAAACACAGUGGAGGUUAUCAGUUGCGCAGGUGGUGCAUGGUUUGUCGUCAGCUCGUGUCGUGAGAUGUUGGGUUAAGUCCCGCAACGAGCGCAACCCUUAUUGUUAGUUACCAGCACGUAAUGGUGGGGACUUUAGCAAGACUGCCAGUGAUAAAUUGGAGGAAGGUGGGGACGACGUCAAAUCAUCAUGCCCCUUAUGACCUGGGCUACAAACGUGAUACAAUGGCUGUUACAAAGGGUAGCUGAAGCGCAAGUUUUUGGCGAAUCUCAAAAAAACAGUCUCAGUUCGGAUUGAAGUCUGCAACUCGACUUCAUGAAGUUGGAAUCGCUAGUAAUCGCGAAUCAGCAUGUCGCGGUGAAUACGUUCACGGGGUUUGUACACACCGC